CUACCAUGGCGUUUACGGGUAACGGAGGAUUAGGGUUCGAUUCCGGAGAGGGAGCCUGAGAAACGGCUACCACAUCUAAGGAUGGCAGCAGGCGCGUAAAUUACCCAAUCCUGAUUCAGGGAGGUAGUGACAAGAAAUAACGGACCGGGGUCUUCGGACUUCGGGACCGCAAUGAGCCGAAUUUACACCCCUUAGCGAGAACCGAUUGGAGGGCAAGUCUGGUGCCAGCAGCCGCGGUAAUUCCAGCUCCAAUAGCGUAUAUUAAAGUUGUUGCAGUUAAAAAGCUCGUAGUUGGAUUUCUGGGAGGGUGCUAAUGCCCGCCGUAGCGCGCGCGCAGCAGCGCCCUUCCAUCCUUCUGUUAACGCCUCUUGGCAUUCAUUUGCUGGUGGCGGGCUCAGAUAUUUUACCUUGAGAAAAUUAGAGUGUUUCAGGCAGGCUAGGCCGGAAUAUAUUAGCAUGGAAUAAUGGAAUAGGACUAUGGUCUCUUUGUUGGUUUGAGGGACUGCAGUAAUGAUUAAUAGGGAUAGUUGGGGGCAUUAGUAUUUAAUUGUCAGAGGUGGAAUUCUCAGAUUUGUUAAAGACUAACUUAUGCGAAAGCAUUUGCCAAGGAUGUUUUCAUUAAUCAA
Molecule: ribosomal RNA, 626 nt
Filed under: Ciliophora sp.
Lineage: Eukaryota; Ciliophora
Description: SSU rRNA
Rfam family: Eukaryotic small subunit ribosomal RNA
Source: RNAcentral